CAGUCGCCGCGGUAAUACGGAGGGUGCAAGCGUUAUCCGGAUUUAUUGGGUUUAAAGGGUCCGUAGGCGGAUCUGUAAGUCAGUGGUGAAAUCUCACAGCUUAACUGUGAAACUGCCAUUGAUACUGCAGGUCUUGAGUAAAUUUGAAGUGGCUGGAAUAAGUAGUGUAGUGGUGAAAUGCAUAGAUAUUACUUAGAACACCAAUUGCGAAGGCAGGUCACUAAGAUUUAACUGACGCUGAUGGACGAAAGCGUGGGGAGCGAACAGGAUUAGAUACCCCAGUAGUCCCUGUCUCUUAUAA
RNAcentral lists this ribosomal RNA (301 nucleotides) under uncultured bacterium. Its description in RNAcentral is "partial 16S ribosomal RNA". It matches the Rfam family "Bacterial small subunit ribosomal RNA", at positions 509 to 809 of the family's 1533-position model. The record is from RNAcentral.